Molecule: ribosomal RNA, 209 nt
Filed under: Idiomarina sp. H105
Lineage: Bacteria; Pseudomonadati; Pseudomonadota; Gammaproteobacteria; Alteromonadales; Idiomarinaceae
Also listed under: 1 other name
Description: partial 16S ribosomal RNA
Rfam family: Bacterial small subunit ribosomal RNA
Source: RNAcentral
AAUCGCUAGUAAUCGUGGAUCAGAAUGCCACGGUGAAUACGUUCCCGGGCCUUGUACACACCGCCCGUCACACCAUGGGAGUGGGCUGCACCAGAAGUGGUUAGUUUAACCUUCGGGAGAACGAUCACCACGGUGUGGUUCAUGACUGGGGUGAAGUCGUAACAAGGUAGCCGUAGGGGAACCUGCGGCUGGAUCACCUCCUUACAUUA